Molecule: ribosomal RNA, 497 nt
Filed under: Turcolana lepturoides
Lineage: Eukaryota; Metazoa; Arthropoda; Malacostraca; Isopoda; Cirolanidae
Description: partial 16S ribosomal RNA
Rfam family: Bacterial large subunit ribosomal RNA
Source: RNAcentral
UUCUUGUAAGAUUAAUUACAGGUAUGCUCUGCCCAAUGUUUAUAAAUGGCCGCGGUAUUUGGACCGUGCUAAGGUAGCAUAAUAAGUUUCUUUUUAAUUGUAAGAUGGUAUGAAGGAGUGAACGGGGAAGAAUUGUACCUUUUCUAAUAAAAUAAUUUUAUAUGUGAGUAAGAAAGCUCUUGUGAUUUAAAAAGACGACAAGACCCUAUAAAACUUUACUAAUAGGAAUUGAUUUAAUUUAAUGAUGUUAAGUUAUGGUUAGUUAAGCUGGGGCGGUUUAUUUUGAUUAACAAAAUAUUUUGGUACGUAGUUAAUGGAGUUAGAGAUUGUUGAUGUAUAAUUAAGAUUAAGUUACUUUAGGGAUAACAGCAUAAUAUUUUUGGAGAGUUCUUAUCGAUGGAGAUGUUUGUGACCUCGAUGUUGAAUUGAAUUGUCUUCUGUGAGUAGUAAUUCAGAGUAGAAGGUCUGUUCGACCUUUAAUGAUUCACAUGAUCUGA